AUGUUUUAUUUAAUAAGUUACAAGAUACAAUUUACAGUCGGCAUUUGAUUCCAGUUUGGCUUCCAUGUCCCAGCUUACAACACCCAUGGUCCUUUCACAUCAGGCUCCGGGCUGUUCCACUUUCUGUAGGGUGGGCUUUUACCCCCAACACUCGCCCCAGAUACUACACCUGCCACAAGAGUGGCCACUUCCUCAGGACUAAGCAGCAAACCCUAAAGGUCUGCCUGCCCAGACCACACUACACAUUUGGGCUCAGGCAACGUCCCUGACACUUUAACCUCAUUCCAAAGCCAGCUCAGGUCUGCAGGAAGGCAGGCAAAAUUCCCUACACCUCAUUUCUGGAUUUCUGCACCAUGCAGCUCUCACUGUUUCUGCCAAUGGUGAAAAGACCACCAAUAAGCUGCUGCCCUUCUCUCCCCCAACCAUUCCCAACUUUCAGGCCAAAGAGCCGCAGGAGUUUCAUUCUGUCCUGUCUGUACAGAUCAUUAUUUUCCAGAAAAAGUGACCCACGAAGUUGGCUGGGGCGGGUGUGGAGUGUUAUGUCAUGGGACGGGCCUUGGGAUGAGGGCGUUAAUCCAUGGGCCCCUCUGAGGUCACUUUAAACAUUUUGGUAAGACUGCCCAGGCUGAUGAAGGGCUGGAGCGUGUGUUAAAAACAAGGGCUAGUGUUGGUUAAAAGGGAUCUUUGGCAAGUGGGGAACUGCUUGCCACUGCAGAAUUUCUUCAGACCAAGGAAGGGACUGAAACGGACUUGGAAAACUAAAGCAAAACCAUGACUGCCGGGAUGGUCUUGUGUGGUGAUUCUGCAAGAAAUAAUCACCAGAGCGAGGGGACAGGUACUUGAGAGACAUGUGGGCCCGGCUGCCACCACAUCCACUCUGCCCUCUGAGAAGUGUAAGAAGGCCACAGAGCAUGGGGGUGUUGGCGAUGAGGAGUGGUAAAGCAGUGCUAGUGAUCUAAUAGCCAAAUACAUUAACACGGACACUGGAAGAGAUUAAGCAGAUUUUAAGUCAUCUCCUUUGCCAAAUGACAACCAAACUAAGUGUCCCCUUUUUCUCUGCCCAUCUUCCCCUAGCCUUGUUUCAUAAAUGCUGAAGAGUGAACCAGCAGCUCAGGCUAGCCAGUUUUGUUUUUUUGAAAUGUCAGUCUCAUUGUGUUCCUGGUCUGUCUGCUGCAGUGGCUGGACUGUUCCACCAAGAGUUCUGGUUUGCACCUAGUGUACUCAGGAUCUUCUCAGCCCACUGAACAAGCUUGCAUUUCUUAAGAUUCUCCAAUAUGUCCCUCAAGAGUCCAGUCUAGGACUUAUUUCUGAAGGCAUUUUACAACAGCAAUAUUUUAGGGAUGGGUUUCAGCCCCACAAACAGGCUGGAGGGCUUUGUAUAAAAUGAAUUACAAACAAGCAACAAAAGCAACCACAAGAACUCUCUCCAGGAUUUGAGAAAACUGUUUUAAGGCACUGUGACAUGAAAAGGGCUGCCAGGGAUGUGUUCCUCCCCCCACUUCACAGCCAGCACAUAAUCGCCCCUCUCCUUGACGACGUAUGUGACAUUGUAUUGCUGGUUGCCUACAUGCUUCAUGGAGACCUCCUCGCAGGGGGUGGUGGGCCCAUGGACCCCGAUCAGCAGCAUGUUGGAGCCUAGGAGGCAAAAGGUGGUUACUCCACCCGGAUGCAUCAGGACAGGCACAGGAAGAAGAGGAAAUAUGAGAGCCAAAGGAAAGGAAGCAGAGGCACAGUGAAGUCAGAUAAUUCAUCUGGAGUCACACAGCUGGGGACCAGCAGAACUGGGAUUUAAACAUGAAGUCUGUCCAACUUGGAGCUAAAGCACUUACCUGAGAGAAGAUGGAAGGAAAAAAAUCCACAAGCAGAAGUCUCUCACCACUGCCUCUAGCUAUAACCUGUAUCUGACACCACAAAACAUCUCUGGGCGCGGCGGUCUUCCCCCACCCCCUCAAAUAUGUCCAGCUCAGUUCCUGGUUUGAAGCAGGCGGUUCUGUACCUCUCCCCUCCUGGCUAGGAGCUUCCCUGCAAGAGCAACUCCUUCUCUCAGCAGCGUCCAGCACUUGCAGAGCACAGCCUGAAACCCAAGCUCCCAAAAAGGUGUGCGAACAGCCAAAAGGAAAUGGGAGAGGGCCCAGGCACAGCGGCAUGAGCCAGCAGGAGGGUGAGAUGCUUCCUGGCCAGUGUGGGAGACCCCAGCAGCUGUUGUGAGGCCUGGCCUGAAGCCUGCCACGCGCUCCAAGUGCCUAGAGGACCCCAGCUGGGCCCUCAAAGCCUCCAUAACAGUGACGCACUCACUGCGCACCACCCGAUGCCACCUGUUCAAAUAACUGCGAUUCACAGCAGGAAUUCUCACUACAGCCAGGAAAAGGAGGGGAAGAUCUGUUCUGACAUGGAAAGAUCUUUAAGAUGUCAAAGCAAAAACACAAGCUAUACCACACAGUGGAUACAGUAAGAUUCUUUCUGUAAGACAAAAGCAAAACUCUGUGUCUGCUUGUCUAAUGAACCAAUUAGCUAACCAACCCAGCAACCAAGAAUGAAGACAGACAAUGAGAUGACAGACAGGGUGAAGGUCCUCCCUUCCCAGAGACGUUUGCUUCUGGACCCAGGUGGGGGAGGAGGAGAGAAGAUGGAGUGGGUCUCACUUUAUUUACUUCUUCACUGCCUGUAUCUUUUAUAAUCAAACAUGUCCCAUCUGUGGCAAAGAAUAAAAAUAAAUUGUAAUGGGUCCAAAAAGCUUCAGAAUUCUUUGAACAUUUCAGUCUUUUCUCCUCCUCCAUUAAGAUCUGAGAGUAAAAAGAGGAGGAGAUAGGCUGGGACAGGUCUUAUUGCUGCUUCAGUGCAUUUCUGGGAGCCUGGUACCAUGAAAGAACAGAUGGGUAGGAGCCCACUUGGACGCAUCAUGAAUUCUGUGCAGGCAAAGAAACCCUCAAAAUUAAUGACACUGUGCUGUGUUCCCUGACUAUCAGCAUCCUGUUCUGAAAGUCAAGAAACUUGGCAGAGGAAGGAAUCUGAAUCACAACUAACAGUAAUGAGGUGUGAUAACACAGCCAUCGAGCUCUCACUCUGGAUUUAUCGCGGGUCAAACCGCAACUCCCAAAACAGCUUUGGACAGCAAGCGCCUCCGAAGUGUGCAUGACCCCAGUUUCCACGGGGAGCGCGUGUAAAAAGCUUCCAUGGGGCUUGAGGAUUUCCAUCUGGCUUGGUCCCUGGAGCUGGUUCAGUUAAGGCUUCAAGAAGCAGAGGAGUGGGUUACCUGUGGUGCCCCCUUCGAGUCCCGCGCCAUAGGCGGACACCAGGGCAGGGUUCCCCGCUUGUCCAGGCUCCCCAACGCGCACUUUGAAGGGGCUUCCAACCACGUGGCUCCCAUUGAACUUGACAUCGAUGGUGUGGACACCAUUCUCAUGAGGGAUGAAGCGAACAGCAUACUUAUCUAGGAGAAUGAGCAAAGGCACAGGGUGAAAUCAAGCAAAUGGACACCCCUGAGUUCAGUGAGGACAAAGGAUGGAGGCCAAGCCGAGAUGGCCCAUUUAAAAUCAACAGUUCUACAGGGAGCCUGGCACUCAGCAUCCUGGAUUUCAGAACCAGACAGACCCCCUGGGUAUCCCUCAUCAGCCCCAAGGGAAACGCAUCCACAUUGCAAAUCCUAUAAACACAGGACAAGACUCUGACCCCUGCCUCAGAACACUUCCUUUCUUUAGAAAACCUCACUUCUUCAAUGUGAAAUUCUGUGAAUGCUGUUACUAAUCCUGUCACGAGAUGAAUCUCAUUUCACCAAAAUUAAAUUAUGUUUUUCCACUAAAAUGAUGAUACAAGUUGAAGACACAGCACUCUGAAAUUGGAAGACCUCACCACUUAAGGCUCCACAGUGGCUUACUCAGCUGAACUCUAGGUUACUACUCUUUACUUUGUUCACCCACUGGGGGGUUCAGUUUGUUUUUAAACAUUGGGAGAUGGCCAUUCUAACUACUGUUGAAUGUCUCUGUUUUGGGAAGGCAUAACAAGAAAUAAAAAAGAAUAUAUAUGAAGGGAAAAAAGAAAACCUCACUUCUUCUACGUUUCUCUAUUUGGCCACUUGAAGGGGAAAAAAACGGUUCCAACUGGCAUUAAUGCUCCUUAAUUAAGCUCAAAGCUAGGAACUGCCCCCACAGGGCAGGUUU
This 4157-nucleotide long non-coding RNA is filed under the name Pan troglodytes (chimpanzee). Its description in RNAcentral is "long non-coding RNA NONPTRT011945". The record is from RNAcentral. Lineage: Eukaryota; Metazoa; Chordata; Mammalia; Primates; Hominidae.